Bos taurus (domestic cattle) is the source of this 72-nucleotide non-coding RNA. The record is from Rfam. Lineage: Eukaryota; Metazoa; Chordata; Mammalia; Artiodactyla; Bovidae.
UCCGUGGUGUCUCAGUUGGUAGAGAAUCCACCUGCAGUGUGGGAGACGUGGGUUUGAUCCCUGCAUUGGGAA